UUAAUUGAAGCCAAAAAGAGGCAUAUUACUGUUAAUAAUAUAACUGAACUAAACAAAGUUCCAAUUAAG
This 69-nucleotide transfer RNA is filed under the name Oxya hyla. RNAcentral describes it as "tRNA-Asn". Lineage: Eukaryota; Metazoa; Arthropoda; Insecta; Orthoptera; Acrididae. The record is from RNAcentral.